Musa acuminata AAA Group (dessert banana) is the source of this 3559-nucleotide long non-coding RNA. RefSeq lists it as uncharacterized. Lineage: Eukaryota; Viridiplantae; Streptophyta; Magnoliopsida; Zingiberales; Musaceae. The transcript has 2 exons. The record is from RefSeq and is a predicted model, not a curated record.
CCUGCUGAUGGCCCAUUUCUAGCCCAGUAAUAAGCACUGUCGUCCAAGUCCAUUGGCAAUUCAGCUGAAUUAAAUUCCUCGUUGGCGUCCGCACUUCCGGAAACUUCACCUCCAGGCUCUCUCUCUCUCUCUCUCUCUAUAUAUAUAUAUAUAUAUAUAUCAAUGGCGGUUACGAAGGCGCGGCCCCAUUUCAGCUUUUGCGUCCUGUGGUUGAAUCUUCGCACCGCGAUGAUCGAGGCAAAAGUGGGGAGGGUUACAGGCGAUCGCACAAAAGGUGAUGGUCAUUCUGAUGUAUCUUUUCCUUUUCCAAGUUGUUGAUUGUAGGUUCUUGGAGUAGAAUAUCAUCGGUUUCUUCGAUCUUUGGCAGCUUGAUUCUUGUUCCAUGGUUUUCGAGAAGCACUUCCAAUCCUGUGAUAAUUUUCUUUGCUUCUUGUUGGUUUCCGAUUCUUGAAUCCAACGACAGACGAUUCUGUCGAUCUUUUGGCGGAUGCUUGAAUCCAGAUGCCAUUGUUUUCGUCGAUCUUUUGGCGGCGUUAUUCUUGUUCUAUGGGUGUGUUUCUUGUUUCAUGAUUGUUCGUUCAGGAGGGGACUUUGAUCCUGUUAUGAAUUUUCCGUUUGUUGUUGGUUGCGGAUUCUUGAAGCCAUUUGGCGGCGUGAAACUUGUUCUAUGUGCGUGUUUCUUGUUUCGUGAAUUUUCAGAAGGGGGUUCUGAUCCUGUUUUGAAUUUUCCGUUUGUUGUUGGUUGCGGAUUCUUGAAGUCACUAGACAUUUUCUUCAACGAUCUUUUUGGCUGCGUGAUUAUUGUUCUGUGGUUUUCCAAGAAGGAAUUCAGGUUCUGUCAUAAAAGUAUUUUUGUGCCGUCAGAGCGAGCGAGUUUAAACAGACGCGGUUCCGUCGACUAACAUCUUCCUUUUGGCGUUCUAGUUCUCAGAUGUUGAGAGUUUGCAUCGUGAAUUCUUGUUUUUGUUGUGUUCUGUAGGAAAUAGAAAUCCAUGGUAGCCUUUCCCUCCCUCCUUUCCGAUUCUUGAUUGCCGGAUCACGAUUAGGCUACAACCAACCGUAAGUUCGCCUUUUAUUUUUUGCCCACCAUCAAAGCGUCGUGCAAAUCGUGAUGGCAUGCAACAGCGAACACUAGUAAAUGCAAACGCACGUCCGUACAAUUCUCUAAUGGGAGAACACGAAUUUAAUGCAUUGUUUGCAAGGUUUGGGGAGCUACCGUGGUCAUUUCACCCUCCUAGUGAACACGUUGGACAGGCUGUCUUCCUCCGCAAGGUUGGAUGCGUUUGUAUAGGUGCUAACGGGGCUUCACUGUUUUGGAUGAAAUUUCGAGUUGUAGGUUCGACCUACCAUGUGGUCUUAGGAAUUCUAUCGACUUUAAUGCCCCUAAUAACUGACUCUUGUGCAUGUGAACAUGUCACUGGCAGUGGUACAAGGAGUUUGUCUACCAUGAACUCUUUUUUGAUCCAGCUAUGUAGAUCUUUUGCUGCGACCGAGCAAACUCUUCAACCUUUUUCUUUGAGAAAAAGGCUGUAAUUCACUUAUUCUGUUUGUGAAGUUGAUGAAUAUGUCUUGCUUUGUUAUAAAUAAGCUAUAGGCUGCUGAAACUAAUCUCGGUUGAUCAACUUUACUGACACUGUUUAGUUUAUACGAGUCAUUUCAGAUGCAUCAUUUAAGAAAGUUCAAAGUCAUUUAGGAUCAUUGUAUUACUUCUUGCGUCUAUUGCCAUUGGUUUAUAUCAGUUGAACAGGUAUUUGCCUCGUUUUCAUUCUCCAUGCACGCCAUGUAUGUAGGUCGCUGUAUCAGUAUGAUAGAGCUAGAGGCUUUCUCAAGAUCUAUAUUUUUUAGAAAUAUGUCAUAACAGCAGUUUGUCAUCACAAUCUGUGUGUGGAUAGUAACCAGGAUCAAAUGAUCCCGUUAAAAAUCCUGGACAUAUAUGUCACUGGCUUGACUUAAGGAAUUGAUUUCAAUUGGCCAACUUAAGAAGCAUAUUUCAAGUGGAGGAAAAAGUGUGAUAAGUUGCCUUUUUAUAUGUUUGAUGUAGCUUAGCUCACCUUUGAUCUCCUAUUCUUUCUGGGUUUAGAUUGUUAUUGCCUAGUGCACUGAGCUUUUUGCUUCUUUUUUUUUUUGUUCAUUUUCAAGUACUUUUGCAAUUUGUCUUUAUAUUUCUGAUUCCGUACACACAGAACUGCUGCUCCUGCCAUUUCCGGCAUGUUUUUAUUUAAAUUAACUUUAUUGGCAUGAAUUACGGAUUUAGGAGAUAUAUGCAAGGGGUAUGCCCUCCCUAUCUUUCUUUCUGGCAUUACUUUUGUCCAAUAUAAGCAUCUCCACAUACGGCUGUCAUGAUAUGCAUUUACUGUUUCUAUUUAUAUUCUUAGCUUUUAUAUAAUUUUCCUUGAGAUGAAUCUGUAUAGACAGUUUCAACAGUGAUUCAGUGUCGGAACCAGGCGAUGAGUUUUAUGUGUGCCCAACAUUCAUAGUUAAACCAUGUGCUGUCAUAAGCCUCUUUAUUCUGGUUUUGAGAAUUGUGGUGAUUUUUCAUGAGAGUAGGUAGUUAAGAGGAAAGAAAAGCCAAAUUGUCGUUGAAUCUUAUGGGCCUUAUGAGGUAGGUGUUUAAUUAUUCUUACUGCUAUCACUAUCAAUGUCACUAUUUUUUUAUAUAUUAUGUGUUGUUGUCAUAGUAUUAUUAUCAUUGUUGAUGUAUAUACAUAUGUAUAUAUAUAUACACAUAUAUAUAAAUACACAUACACACAUAUAUAUAUAUAUAUAUAUAUAUAUUGCACGUUUAUUAUUAUUUUUGCUUGCUGGAGGAUUUGAGACUAUAUGCUUGUUUGCUCCUCGUUUCUGCAAAACGUCAGGCCUUAACUGUCUCUGACGUAAUUUGGUGUGAGAACCAGUAGUUUUGUUUUUAUUGCUUAUUUUUUCAGGUUUCUGCAAGCAUGCAUGGGAUAGCAACAUUUGGGGAUACUGUCUGUGGUAUUAAUUUAUAAUGGUUUUCAGUGCUAGUCGAUAUGUAGAAAUGUAAAAAAAACUAGUUUUGUUGCCUUCUUUCCAACUAGUUCUGUCCUCUUUAACUCGGCAGCGCAUAAAAAAUGUAAUUAGAUGAAGCCAGCCCAGGACAGAUUUCAUUUUAUCAUAGGACAGACAUUAAAAAGAUGAGAUGAUGCUAUCCCAAGUGAUGCCAAAUUGGAGGCAACGGCAGGACAACGAUGAGAUUAGAAUGCUAAUUCCGAAGAUGUGUGUCGGCGCUCUAUUGCUGCGAAUUUUUGCAUUGAAAUUCAUUCGAAGAGAAAAACGUACGGAGAAAAGCAAAGGAAAGUAUAUGCAACUAAAGAUUGCUAAGAAGCUUCCAGGGCAAGCCUAAGAAUGAUUUGCGGUGCAAGUGUAGGACGCAAUUAAAGUAGUUGGCCCCAACAAUUUCAGCUGGAUUUGCAACGAUCAUAAGAAAAAAACACCAAAAUGUGUCAGCAUGCCAAGAAAAUUGACCGAGGUAGGCCAAGAAAAUAUGUUUGUACGCAAGCGUUAUAAACAUUUUAAAUACAAACAUUGUGAUUCUACUCCA